RNAcentral lists this transfer RNA (74 nucleotides) under Rhodobacteraceae bacterium WD3A24. RNAcentral's name for it is "tRNA-Arg". It matches the Rfam family "tRNA". From Rfam's summary of the family: Transfer RNA (tRNA) molecules are approximately 80 nucleotides in length. Their secondary structure includes four short double-helical elements and three loops (D, anti-codon, and T loops). Lineage: Bacteria; Pseudomonadati; Pseudomonadota; Alphaproteobacteria; Rhodobacterales; Paracoccaceae. The record is from RNAcentral.
ACGGCUGAAUUAAAGGGCGUUUUUCGUGCCUCCGGAGCACGAGGUCGAAGGUUCGAAUCCUUCCGGGCGCGCCA